RNAcentral lists this ribosomal RNA (497 nucleotides) under uncultured bacterium. RNAcentral's name for it is "partial 16S ribosomal RNA". It matches the Rfam family "Bacterial small subunit ribosomal RNA", at positions 28 to 507 of the family's 1533-position model. The record is from RNAcentral.
GAUGAACGCUGGCGGCGUGCCUAAUACAUGCAAGUCGAGCGAACAGAUAAGGAGCUUGCUCCUUUGACGUUAGCGGCGGACGGGUGAGUAACACGUGGGUAACCUACCUAUAAGACUGGGAUAACUUCGGGAAACCGGAGCUAAUACCGGAUAACAUUUGGAACCGCAUGGUUCUAAAGUGAAAGAUGGUUUUGCUAUCACUUAUAGAUGGACCCGCGCCGUAUUAGCUAGUUGGUAAGGUAACGGCUUACCAAGGCAACGAUACGUAGCCGACCUGAGAGGGUGAUCGGCCACACUGGAACUGAGACACGGUCCAGACUCCUACGGGAGGCAGCAGUAGGGAAUCUUCCGCAAUGGGCGAAAGCCUGACGGAGCAACGCCGCGUGAGUGAUGAAGGGUUUCGGCUCGUAAAACUCUGUGAUUAGGGAAGAACAAAUGUGUAAGUAACUGUGCACGUCUUGACGGUACCUAAUCAGAAAGCCACGGCUAACUACGUG